CAGUAGCCACGGUAAUACGUAGGUGGCAGGCGUUGUCCGGAAUUAUUGGGCGUAAAGCGCGCGCAGGCGGUUUCUUAAGUCUGAUGUGAAAGCCCCCGGCUUAACCGGGGAGGGUCAUUGGAAACUGGGAGACUUAGAGUGCAGAAGAGGAGAGUGGAAUUCCAUGUGUAGCGGUGAAAUGCGUAGAUAUAUGGAGGAACACAGUGGCGAAGGCGACUCUCUGGUCUGUAACUGACGCUGAGGCGCGAAAGCGUGGGGAGCAAACAGGAUUAGAUACCCCCGUAGUCCCUGUCUCUUAUAC
RNAcentral lists this ribosomal RNA (301 nucleotides) under uncultured bacterium. RNAcentral describes it as "partial 16S ribosomal RNA". It matches the Rfam family "Bacterial small subunit ribosomal RNA", at positions 509 to 807 of the family's 1533-position model. The record is from RNAcentral.